Molecule: long non-coding RNA, 1233 nt
Organism: Dreissena polymorpha
Lineage: Eukaryota; Metazoa; Mollusca; Bivalvia; Myida; Dreissenidae
Exons: 4
Source: RefSeq, a predicted model, not a curated record
UAACUACUAAGAUGGCGGCGUUUAACAACGCAUAUAGUGAACGCACAUGAAACAUGCAUUUUAGUAACGAAUAUAACACUUAUAAUGCAAUGAAAAAGUUGAUGUACAGAGGACACUUUGGCAAGCAAGGGGCUUAAGCUUUUUAUGCAAGAGUAAUAUAACUUAAGCCAGACGCUGGACAUUCAUGGACCUCCCUCCUGUCUAGGUGGAAGUGACAAAUGUUGGAACAGUUAUAUAGUGACCAGCAGAAAUGUUACUCAAGCUAAACACUUGACACUAUACUGGCCCCCUCCUGUGGAAGUGACAGUGGUUGUGAUAGUUAUUUAGUGAGUAGCAGAAAUGCAAUUCAAGCCAAACACUGGACCUGUACUGACCUCCCUCCUGUUAAGUUGGAAGUGAAAGUGGUUGUCUAGUGAGCAGCAAAAAUAAAAUUCAAGCCAUACACUGGACCUGAACUGACCUCCCUCCUGUUUAAGUGGAAGUGACUGUUCCUCGGAUAGUUGUCAAGUCAAGAAUCACAAGCCAAGCCGUGUCAGAAAAAAAGGCAAGGCGAGGAGGGAAUAAUCGGGGGCAGUAAUUGUGUAAAACCGUCGAAAAGGCAUGUCAGUAGCUCAGGAUUUUCAUGGCAUAAACGGGGUUUCGGCAGUCUAAAAUCACACACAUUCUUGAUGUCCAAGCAAAAGUAUGGAGGGCAGAUAGUGAAGUAGGUCAUGUUUUUAUCGUAUCUGUGAAACAUAUCUGUGAAAUGUGCCAGUGGCGGCAAAGAAACCAGACCGGCCAGAUUGCACGUGCACAUGACUGUGUCCACAAGUUUACUGGAGUGAGUGUCAGUGGUGAGAAGGGACUCAAGGAGCUUAUUGAAGAGGGCAAGCCUGUUGAGAUUGUAGAGGGUGAUGGAUAUAAUAAUAUAGAAAUUCGCGUGAAAAGGAACAUAAACCUUACUCUACAGAAACAUUUUGAUGAAAAUUAUGUCAAGAACAUUUUCAUAAUGAAGAACUCAGACUGUCAGCCCAGGCGGAGUUCUGCGAAAAUUGACCAUGAAAAUCAUGUUUAUAUUGUGUAUAUAAUAAUAAGUUUAAUGUUAUUAAUCACUAUUCAUUAAUGAAGCUAUUUUCCUUUUAACUGGUAUGAUUUAAUGAUUAAAUAUGCCAUAUGUCUUAAUCUUGAAUUGCUUUAUUUCCCCUGUUACAUGUCGACGUCAUACUCAUUUUUAUCUAUUUUUGAACAUUUGAA